Molecule: ribosomal RNA, 316 nt
Filed under: uncultured Bacteroidales bacterium
Lineage: Bacteria; Pseudomonadati; Bacteroidota; Bacteroidia; Bacteroidales
Description: partial 16S ribosomal RNA
Source: RNAcentral
GGAGUUCGGUCCGUGUCUCAGUACCGAUGUGUGGGACCUUCCUUUUAGAACCCAUAGGCAUCAUCGUCUUGGUGGGCCGUUGCCCCGCCAACUAACUAAUGCCACGCAUGCCCAUCCGCAACCUAUGAAUAUUUAAUCAAAAGGGGAUGCCCCCUCUCGAUACUAUCGGAGUUUAAUCGUCCUUUCGGUCGGCUAUCUCCGUGUUGCGGGCAGGUUGCAUACGCGUUACUCACCCGUCCGCCGCUCGCCACCAAUGUAUUGCUACACCGUGCUGCCGCUCGACUUGCAUGUGUUAGGCCUGCCGCUAGCGUUUAUC